CUUUACUGCAACUUGGCAGUGGUUUUCGGGAUAUUCUGCGUAGGAUAGGUGGGAGGCUAUGAAGUCGGGGUUCCGGCCUCGGCUGAGCCAACGUUGAAAUACCACCCUGGAUGUUCUGGAAACCUAACCUAGGCCCCUCACGGGGUCGGGGACACUGCCUGGUGGGCAGUUUGACUGGGGCGGUCGCCUCCAAAAAAGUAACGGAGGCGUGCGAAGGUUCCCUCAGGCUGAUUGGAAACCAGCCGUAGAGUGCAAACGCACAAGGGAGCUUAACUGCGAGACCGACAGGUCGAGCAGGUGCGAAAGCAGGCGUUAGUGAUCCUGUGGUUCUGCAUGGAAGGGCCAUAGCUCAUCGGAUAAAAGGUA
Molecule: ribosomal RNA, 366 nt
Filed under: uncultured organism
Description: bacterial LSU rRNA
Rfam family: Bacterial large subunit ribosomal RNA
Source: RNAcentral